UUGAACGCUGGCGGCAGGCCUAACACAUGCAAGUCGAGCGGAUGAAGGGAGCUUGCUCCUGGAUUCAGCGGCGGACGGGUGAGUAAUGCCUAGGAAUCUGCCUGGUAGUGGGGGAUAACGUCCGGAAACGGGCGCUAAUACCGCAUACGUCCUGAGGGAGAAAGUGGGGGAUCUUCGGACCUCACGCUAUCAGAUGAGCCUAGGUCGGAUUAGCUAGUUGGUGGGGUAAAGGCCUACCAAGGCGACGAUCCGUAACUGGUCUGAGAGGAUGAUCAGUCACACUGGAACUGAGACACGGUCCAGACUCCUACGGGAGGCAGCAGUGGGGAAUAUUGGACAAAGGACGAAAGCCUGAUCCAGCCAUGCCGCGUGUGUGAAGAAGGUCUUCGGAUUGUAAAGCACUUUAAGUUGGGAGGAAGGGCAGUAAGUUAAUACCUUGCUGUUUUGACGUUACCAACAGAAUAAGCACCGGCUAACUUCGUG
Molecule: ribosomal RNA, 483 nt
Filed under: uncultured bacterium
Lineage: Bacteria
Description: partial 16S ribosomal RNA
Rfam family: Bacterial small subunit ribosomal RNA
Source: RNAcentral